AAGCGGGAACGAGUGAAGCUGUCCGAGCAUGACCUAACUAGCUAUCUUUGUUGUGUUAAAAACUUCUUGCAAAAGCUUAAAAAUCGAAUUUCUUAAGGAUCCAAAGCUAGCUGGAUAGAUCAUGCUGGCAGCUUCACUUAUUACCUUG
Molecule: microRNA precursor, 148 nt
Filed under: Daucus carota subsp. sativus
Lineage: Eukaryota; Viridiplantae; Streptophyta; Magnoliopsida; Apiales; Apiaceae
Description: sRNA DCAR_mi00092
Source: RNAcentral